GAUGAACGCUAGCGGCAGGCUUAACACAUGCAAGUCGAGGGGCAGCGAGGGUGAUAGCAAUAUUACCUGUCGGCGACCGGCGCACGGGUGCGUAACGCGUAUGCAACCUACCAUCAACAGGGGGAUAACACUGAGAAAUUGGUACUAAUACCCCAUAAUAUCUCAUGCGGCAUCGCAUGGGGUUGAAAACUCCGGUGGUUGAUGAUGGGCAUGCGUUGUAUUAGCUGGUUGGUGAGGUAACGGCUCACCAAGGCGACGAUACAUAGGGGGACUGAGAGGUUAACCCCCCACAUUGGUACUGAGACACGGACCAAACUCCUACGGGAGGCAGCAGUGAGGAAUAUUGGUCAAUGGACGCAAGUCUGAACCAGCCAUGCCGCGUGCAGGAUGACGGCUCUAUGAGUUGUAAACUGCUUUUGUACGAGGGUAAACCCCGAUACGUGUAUUGGGUUGAAAGUAUCGUACGAAUAAGGAUCGGCUAACUCCGUGCCAGCAGCCGCGGUAAUACGGAGGAUCCGAGCGUUAUCCGGAUUUAUUGGGUUUAAAGGGUGCGUAGGCGGUUUGAUAAGUUAGAGGUGAAAUGUCGGGGCUCAACCCCGAAACUGCCUCUAAUACUGUUGGACUAGAGAAUAGUUGCGGUAGGCGGAAUGUAUGGUGUAGCGGUGAAAUGCUUAGAGAUCAUACAGAACACCGAUUGCGAAGGCAGCUUACCAAACUAUAUCUGACGUUGAGGCACGAAAGCGUGGGUAGCAAACAGGAUUAGAUACCCUGGUAGUCCACGCAGUAAACGAUGAUAACUCGUUGUCGGCGAUACACAGUCGGUGACUAAGCGAAAGCGAUAAGUUAUCCACCUGGGGAGUACGUUCGCAAGAAUGAAACUCAAAGGAAUUGACGGGGGCCCGCACAAGCGGAGGAACAUGUGGUUUAAUUCGAUGAUACGCGAGGAACCUUACCCGGGCUUGAAAGUUAGCGACGACGCUUGAAAGAGCGUUUCCCUUCGGGGCGCGAAACUAGGUGCUGCAUGGUUGUCGUCAGCUCGUGCCGUGAGGUGUCGGGUUAAGUCCCAUAACGAGCGCAACCCCUACUGUUAGUUGCCAUCAGGUGAUGCUGGGCACUCUAGCGGGACUGCCGGUGUAAGCCGAGAGGAAGGUGGGGAUGACGUCAAAUCAGCACGGCCCUUACGUCCGGGGCCACACACGUGUUACAAUGGUAGGUACAGAGGGCAGCUACCCUGCGAAGGGGUGCGAAUCUCGAAAGCCUAUCUCAGUUCGGAUUGGAGGCUGAAACCCGCCUCCAUGAAGUUGGAUUCGCUAGUAAUCGCGCAUCAGCCAUGGCGCGGUG
RNAcentral lists this ribosomal RNA (1341 nucleotides) under uncultured bacterium. RNAcentral's name for it is "partial 16S ribosomal RNA". It matches the Rfam family "Bacterial small subunit ribosomal RNA", at positions 28 to 1364 of the family's 1533-position model. The record is from RNAcentral.